Long non-coding RNA from Populus trichocarpa (black cottonwood), 404 nucleotides. RefSeq lists it as uncharacterized. The record is from RefSeq and is a predicted model, not a curated record. Lineage: Eukaryota; Viridiplantae; Streptophyta; Magnoliopsida; Malpighiales; Salicaceae. The transcript has 3 exons.
ACAGAGGGUCUUAUAUUAACGAGAACCAUUUGGGUUAUGUUUUCAUAUUGCUCCAUGGAUCACAUGUCGGCCAAGGUUUUACAUGCAAUAUGAAUGGCUUAUUGGAUCACAAUAUAAACCAUAGAGUUGGCUAAGUCUGAUUGGGUUGCAAUAAGAAAACCUCCACCUUGGGCCAUUGAUUCUUGGGGCUUAGAUAUCAGAAGUGGUAAAUAGUAUGAAAGACUUGAUUGAUUAUAGCCGAGAAACAGGAACUGGACCAAUGGGUAUGUUUGACGAGUUCUUACUUGGGCUAUUAUUUUAUUAUUUUUACUUUUAAGUUGGUGAUUUUUUGAAGGUGUCCCCGUGAAUGUUUCCUGCAAAAAUUCAUGCCCAUGGUGUUGUUGCUAUGAUAAUCAUACUUGUCA